UACGUAGGGAGCAAGCGUUGUCCGGAAUUACUGGGCGUAAAGGGCUCGUAGGUGGUUGAGUAAGUCAGAUGUGAAAUCUCAGGGCCCAACCCUGAGCGUGCAUUUGAUACUGCUCUGACUAGAGUCCGGUAGGGGAGUGCGGAAUUCCUGGUAUAGCGGUGAAACGCGCAGAUAUCAGGAGGAACACCGACAGCGAAGGCAGCGCUCUGGGCGGUACUGACACUGAGGAGCGAAAGCAUGGUAGCAAAAC
RNAcentral lists this ribosomal RNA (250 nucleotides) under uncultured archaeon. Its description in RNAcentral is "partial 16S ribosomal RNA". It matches the Rfam family "Bacterial small subunit ribosomal RNA", at positions 524 to 774 of the family's 1533-position model. The record is from RNAcentral.